GGGCGUAUAGCUCAGUUGGUUAGAGCGCAUCGCUGAUAACGAUGAGGUCCUUGGUUCGAAUCCAAGUACGCCCA
This 74-nucleotide transfer RNA is filed under the name bacterium. RNAcentral describes it as "tRNA-Ile". It matches the Rfam family "tRNA". Rfam says of the family: Transfer RNA (tRNA) molecules are approximately 80 nucleotides in length. Their secondary structure includes four short double-helical elements and three loops (D, anti-codon, and T loops). Further hydrogen bonds mediate the characteristic L-shaped molecular structure. tRNAs have two regions of fundamental functional importance: the anti-codon, which is responsible for specific mRNA codon recognition, and the 3' end, to which the tRNAs corresponding amino acid is attached (by aminoacyl-tRNA synthetases). tRNAs cope with the degeneracy of the genetic code in two manners: having more than one tRNA (with a specific anti-codon) for a particular amino acid; and 'wobble' base-pairing, i.e. permitting non-standard base-pairing at the 3rd anti-codon position. RNAcentral also lists the same sequence under 1 other name. The record is from RNAcentral.